GCCCGGGGCCUAACGGUUAAAGCACUGGCUUCCUAAGCCAGGGAUCGUGGGUUUAAGUCUCAUCUAGGGUG
RNAcentral lists this transfer RNA (71 nucleotides) under Mesocricetus auratus (golden hamster). It matches the Rfam family "tRNA". From Rfam's summary of the family: Transfer RNA (tRNA) molecules are approximately 80 nucleotides in length. Their secondary structure includes four short double-helical elements and three loops (D, anti-codon, and T loops). The record is from Rfam by way of RNAcentral. Lineage: Eukaryota; Metazoa; Chordata; Mammalia; Rodentia; Cricetidae.